RNAcentral lists this ribosomal RNA (489 nucleotides) under uncultured bacterium. RNAcentral describes it as "bacterial SSU rRNA". It matches the Rfam family "Bacterial small subunit ribosomal RNA", at positions 28 to 512 of the family's 1533-position model. The record is from RNAcentral.
GAUGAACGCUAGCGGCAGGCCUAAUACAUGCAAGACGAACGGUAAGUUGAGUAGCAAUACUUAGCCAAGAGUGUCGUACGGGUGCGUAACACGUAUGCAACCUACCCUAUACAGGAGGAUAGCCUAGGGAAACCUGGAUUAACCCUUCAUAGUAUUAUUGGAUGGCAUCAUUUGAUAAUUAAAACUGAGGUGGUAUAGGAUGGGCAUGCGUCUGAUUAGUUAGUUGGCGGGUAAUGGCCCACCAAGACGAUGAUCAGUAGGGGUUCCGAGAGGAAGAUCCCCCACACUGGCACUGAGAUACGGGCCAGACUCCUACGGGAGGCAGCAGUAGGGAAUAUUGGUCAAUGGAUGCAAGUCUGAACCAGCCAUGCCGCGUGCAGGAAGAAGGCCUUUCUGGGGUUGUAAACUGCUUUUGCCAGGGGAUAAAAUUUCCAUGCGUGGAAAACUGAAGGUACCUGGUGAAUAAGCCACGGCUAACUACGUGCCAGC